GAUGAACGCUGACAGAAUGCUUAACACAUGCAAGUCGAUGGGGAAGUGGUGCUUGCACCAUGGUAACCAUGGCGGACGGGUGAGUAACGCGUAAGGAACUUGCCUGCGGGACUGGGAUAACAGCAGGAAACUGCUGAUAAUACCGGAUAAGGUCAUUAAGCUGCAUAGCUUAGUGAUGAAAGGAGACGCCUGCGGAGAGCCUUGCGUCCUAUUAGCUAGUUGGAGGGGUAACGGCCCACCAAGGCGAAGAUAGGUAGCCGGCCUGAGAGGGUGGACGGCCACAAGGGGACUGAGAUACGGCACUUACUCCUACGGGAGGCAGCAGUGGGGAAUAUUGGACAAUGGGGGCAACCCUGAUCCAGCAAUUCUGUGUGCACGAAGACGGUUUUCGGAUUGUAAAGUGCUUUCAGCAGGGAAGAAGGAAGUGACGGUACCUGCAGAAGAAGCGACGGCUAAAUACGUG
This 463-nucleotide ribosomal RNA is filed under the name uncultured bacterium. RNAcentral describes it as "partial 16S ribosomal RNA". It matches the Rfam family "Bacterial small subunit ribosomal RNA", at positions 28 to 507 of the family's 1533-position model. The record is from RNAcentral.